Molecule: ribosomal RNA, 495 nt
Filed under: uncultured bacterium
Lineage: Bacteria
Description: partial 16S ribosomal RNA
Rfam family: Bacterial small subunit ribosomal RNA
Source: RNAcentral
GAUGAACGCUGGCGGCGUGCUUAACACAUGCAAGUCGAGCGAAGCAGUUAAGUUGAUUUCUUCGGAUUGAUUCUUAAUUGACUGAGCGGCGGACGGGUGAGUAACGCGUGGGUGACCUGCCCCAUACCGGGGGAUAACAGCUGGAAACGGCUGCUAAUACCGCAUAAGCGCACAGAGCUGCAUGGCUCGGUGUGAAAAACUCCGGUGGUAUGGGAUGGGCCCGCGUCUGAUUAGGCAGUUGGCGGGGUAACGGCCCACCAAACCGACGCUCAGUAGCCGGCCUGAGAGGGCGGCCGGCCACAUGUGGACUGAGACACGGCCCAAACUGCUACGGGAGGCAGCAGUGGGGAAUAUUGCACAAUGGGGGAAACCCUGAUGCAGCGGCGCCGCGUGAGCGAAGAAGUAUUUCGGUAUGUAAAGCUCUAUCAGCAGGGAAGAUAAUGACGGUACCUGACUAAGAAGCCCCGGCUAACUACGUGCCAGCCGCCGCGGUAA